AUUCUUUACGAUUACCAUCAGGAUUUAGUUUAAUUUUAAAAGAUUGUUAUUAUGCUUCUGUAGUUAGUAGAAAUUUGAUUUCUGUAUCUAUACUGAUAUAGGAUAAUUAUAAUUUCUAUUUUAAUAAAGACUUAUGCAUAAUUUAUUUUGAAAAUAAAUGUGUUGCACGUGCCUAUUUGAUAGACGAUCUUUAUCAUUUGCAUGUGGAUGCAAGUGUUAAUGUUAACGAGCAAAUAGUGAAUACUGUAGGGUCUAAGAGAUCUAGAGAUAGAAUUAGCUAAAAGUAUCUGUGGUACCUAAACCUAGGUC
This 309-nucleotide long non-coding RNA is filed under the name Elaeis guineensis (African oil palm). Its description in RNAcentral is "long non-coding RNA (EGUI_LNC045499)". Lineage: Eukaryota; Viridiplantae; Streptophyta; Magnoliopsida; Arecales; Arecaceae. The record is from RNAcentral.